Long non-coding RNA from Bufo gargarizans (Asiatic toad), 787 nucleotides. RefSeq lists it as uncharacterized. NCBI's taxonomy places the organism in Eukaryota, Metazoa, Chordata, Amphibia, Anura, Bufonidae. The transcript has 3 exons. The record is from RefSeq and is a predicted model, not a curated record.
GGUGAUUAGAAGUCCCAGGAAGGUCCUCCAGACAUGCGCAAUGGUAUGCCUGAGACGCCGGCAUCCACGAGUAUUGACCCCUCCGUACGUCUCUACAAUGUUGUUCAUCAUUUUACUAUUUCACCAUCUGUAGUAAGCUGUCACGAGUCUCUCAAAAAGCGCAACAUCCUGUUUUAACACUAACAGUAAUCUGAGAAGAAUGUCUGGGAGGAUGUUUCCAUUUGUAGUAAUAAGCUGGAAGAAGUGAAAAAGGACGCGCGGAACCAGACGUGAUUCAUGGCGAUGAUGAUGACAACAAAGAUACCGAUAUCGUGCGGAUGGUGUUGAUCCGAGAGGUCCAAUUGAAGACGGAACUAAUCAUCAACCCGAAUCUACAUCCGUGUUUCAGAUGUCCCAGGAUUGUGAAUGAUGGCUAAGAAGAUUGUACUUCAAGAAUCUUUGCGAAAUUGGAUCCAAGGACAUUCAUUGGAUGAAGAUACCGGAUAUCACUAUUUUAGCUUGGGAGAGGAACCAAAUUGGUACAUUAUGCAUGGGAACAAAGUCUCAGCAAUAAUGGCAUGAUUGGUGCCAAGUUUUGCAUUUUCUUACAUGCUAACACCAUUGGACACAGGAUCUCUGUGAUAAUAUACUUUUCCAAGAUUGACUUUAUGAUGCGACAAAAGACUCAGAUAAAAUAUUGAUGAACAUGAAAAUUCUUCCGACCUUCUCCCAGUUAGGUCUUAAGGGGAUCCUUGACUAACGUGGGAAGAAGGGGGGGGGGAUUUGUCAGAACUAUUGGGUAUGAAUA